Molecule: long non-coding RNA, 2500 nt
Organism: Dinoponera quadriceps
Lineage: Eukaryota; Metazoa; Arthropoda; Insecta; Hymenoptera; Formicidae
Exons: 3
Source: RefSeq, a predicted model, not a curated record
AUUUCUGAAUAUAUCUAGCAUCAACUGAUUAUUUAUUCGUGUUGCAUUUAUGGAUGUGAUACUUGGACGUUCUUCUUCCAUUACAGCCCCUUCUUUCUCACACAUAUGGUGCGAACGCAGAUUAUACCCAUGUAUACGGGACCUACAGUUUAAAUGCUGAACAGCAAUUGGAGAGAGGUUUUCACGGCAUGAAUACUCUUAGUGGUUUGCCAGAUCAUCGAAGAGGAGCCACGAGCGCAUUUUUUCUCCCUCUGCCGGGAACCGAAACCUUUAGUACAAUAUAAAUCCAGAAUUAGACGCCAGUCAGAAGAUAGCAGUGUUACAAUAGAAGUUAACUGAGUUGCGGGAGACGUACGACGCUGUGAAAGUUGAACUUGCCACGAUAGAACGACGUCGGAAGAAAUUACGAAAACUAGAACGAGAAGAUGUCAUGCAUUCUUUUCGAGUAACGUAACUCCUAGUCUUCAUUAGAUCGCCAUUAUUCGUCGACUAUCGGAGACUCGAAACUCGUGGAACGAGGAGGAAAGAUCUGUCGUGAGUAAUGUUAAUGUUAAACCAUUCUGUUUCAGUAGUCAAAGCAGCUAAGGCGAUAAGAUGGGACAAGCUUGCUCGUGAUACAACAAUCCUGAAAGAUUAGAAAUGUUCUUUCCUCGAGCACUAAAUGAGGCUCUUUGAGAUGUUUGAGAUAACUGGAAUAUCAAAGUAGUGUCACGUAGCGUGCAAUCACGGCGACAAUUCAUGACAAUUUUUACCUAUGUAACAUCGCUUGGUAGGUAAUAUCUGCCCCUUCACGCACUUCCUCCAUUAAUAUAAAAUUGUAGAUCUAGUAGUAAAAUUUAGUGUAAGGGGAGAUACGUUUAUCAAGAUGAGAGAAAGAGCGUGAAAGAAUAAAAGAGACGUAUAUAUACAUAUAUAUAUAUAUAUAUACAUAUGUGUAAUUUAUUAUAUAUAUUUAAAAUUAUUCCACACGUUAUACUUAAAAUCUGUUAUACGUAUUAUUUAUUAUAUUGUGGCUUACAAACGAAGACGAACAGAUUAAGAUCUCUGUAAAAUUUACACACAAGACUCGUUAAUAUAACAUAAUUGUACAAACAUUCAUGUUAUUGUACUUUGCACUUAUAUAUUAGGAUAAUAAGAGACGACUAUGUUUUUUUUCUUCUCGAUUUAACAAAUGUUUGAUCGACUUUUAACGUAAUGCACCAUUUAACGAAAAUGCACGAUAUACAAUUAUCUGCAUUUUCUCCUGUGUUACUCGUCCUGUUGCGGCGAAUAAUAACAGAAAACUUGAAGGAAAGAAGAAAACAGCGGAAAUCAUAUCAAUCGCUAAAAAAUACAUUGACUCGCUUUGUUUAUAUGCAUCAUAAAUUAGUCCUCACAUUUUAAUUUUAUGCUCUAAUUUUCUAAGACUAAGAAAUUUCUACAUUAUACGAUUGUAGUUGCAUCGCGAUACUAUAUACUUCAUUUAUCUUUGUACACCAGUAAGAAUUGAUGCGUCGAAGGUACAACAGUAUCGUUAAACGAGAAAAAGAGGGAAAGAAUUAGAGAAUAUUGUAAAACACAUCUUUUAAAGAAAGCACUGUAAGACUCGUAAAAUAAUAUACAAACGUACGUAUGACUAAGAGACGACGUAUUGAGUACCCGGAGUAACGACGAGAAUUAUUCUGUCACGAGACAAUAUGGACAUCGUAAUGAAAUAUUCUAAAAAAAAAAAAAAAAAAUAAAGAACUUGUAGAUUAAUGCAAGUACAGAUACAAAAUUCAAACCUUGCGAAUGAUUUCGGACUUGUUCGCGUUUUUACAUCUAAUAACCUUUUUAAAAUUUAGUCGUUGACAUUUGACUUGAUAUUUAUUGCUGCAUGCCUUUGCGUCCUAUAAGACGCUGAUUUGUUGAACAAUGAAAUUAACACACCAAUAGAAUUCUUUUAACGCGUCUCGAAACGCGCGCAUUUUGCGUUAAAUAUUUGUUUGUAGUUUUUUUCGACAACUAAUCGGUGAAAAAUAGAUUGUCGUGUUCCGUUCAAUUACGAAUCUCAAUUCAAUGUCCGACGCGAUUCUCAGAACGCACGCGGAAAUUACGCCGAGUUACUGCCAGAUACCCGAUAAUGUCUCGAACAUGAACAUGCAUCCGAUUAUUUCAAUAGUAUUGCGCUUGCCCAAAACAGUUCGCAUCAAAAGUAUACAUACUUUGUUGCAAACUACCGACCACGCAGGUCAGCGAGAAAGAUCAAUGCGACAUUACAUGAUUUCUUGUAUAAAUCAACGAAAGAGGCUGCCUUUAUCGCCUACAUAUGCAAGCGCACACCUCGUUGAAGCUAUCUCGAUAUAUGGUCAAUGUUUUUCUCCAAGGCAAGAGAGAGUGUGCACUGACAUGAUGCAGCCUUCAUCAAACCUCACUAAUACCAUGAAAGAAUACUCAGUCUUGCUGAAACGAAUGUGCAAUGUCACGUGAAAACAUUGUGUUAUGUGUAGAAAAUAUAGAAUUUGACAUUAUUUUACUUUGA